This 291-nucleotide ribosomal RNA is filed under the name uncultured bacterium. Its description in RNAcentral is "partial 16S ribosomal RNA". It matches the Rfam family "Bacterial small subunit ribosomal RNA", at positions 775 to 1067 of the family's 1533-position model. The record is from RNAcentral.
GGAUUAGAUACCCUGGUAGUCCACGCCGUAAACGAUGUCUACUAGUUGUCGGUGGUCUUACUGCUGGUAACGCAGCUAACGCGAUAAGUAGACCGCCUGGGGAGUACGGCCGCAAGGUUAAAACUCAAAUGAAUUGACGGGGGCCCGCACAAGCGGUGGAGCAUGUGGUUUAAUUCGAAGCAACGCGAAGAACCUUACCUGGCCUUGACAUCCUGCGAAUCUCUUGGAGACAAGAGAGUGCCUUCGGGAACGCAGAGACAGGUGCUGCAUGGCUGUCGUCAGCUCGUGCCG